AGCUCAGUGAUUGCAGCCGCUUUCAUUGGCAAUAUACGCUAUGCUGACUGUUUGAUGACAAAUGAGAAUAUGAGAGCU
Molecule: small nucleolar RNA, 78 nt
Filed under: Oryza meridionalis
Lineage: Eukaryota; Viridiplantae; Streptophyta; Magnoliopsida; Poales; Poaceae
Description: snoRNA U54
Rfam family: Small nucleolar RNA U54
About the family: U54 is a C/D box small nucleolar RNA, which acts as a methylation guide for 18S ribosomal RNA in plants.
Source: Rfam by way of RNAcentral